AAUGGUUCAUUCUUUUUUACUGUGAACUGUUUUAAUUUUUCAGCGUCUGAGGAAUGUCUUUUAGCCAUAGGGAUAGGCUACUAGAAUGUUAACCGAGCUGAAAGUCAGGCUUAGGCCUGGUAUCCUAUUAAUUAUUUACCAAAAGAAUUCAGUAUUAUAAUUGUAACAUAAGCGUAAAAAACUUAUAAAACAACUUUUAACAACGGAUCUCUUGGUUCUCGCAUCGAUGAAGAACGUAGCAAAGUGCGAUAACUAGUGUGAAUUGCAUAUUCAGUGAAUCAUCGAGUCUUUGAACGCAACUUGCGCUCAAUGGUAUUCCAUUGAGCACGCCUGUUUCAGUAUCAAAAACACCCCACAUUCAUAAUUUUGUUGUGAAUGGAAAUGAGAGUUUCGGCUUUAUUGCUGAAUUCUUUAAAAUUAUUAGGCCUGAACUAUUGUUCUUUCUGCCUGAACAUUUUUUUAAUAUAAAGGAAUGCUCUAGUAAAAAGACUAUCUCUGGGGCCUCCCAAAUAAAUCAUUCUUAAAUUUGAUCUGAAAUCAGGCGGGAUUACCCGCUGAACUUAAGCAUAUCAAUAAGCCGGAG
Molecule: ribosomal RNA, 583 nt
Filed under: Mucor hiemalis
Lineage: Eukaryota; Fungi; Mucoromycota; Mucoromycetes; Mucorales; Mucoraceae
Description: eukaryotic LSU rRNA
Rfam family: 5.8S ribosomal RNA (bases 192-344)
Source: RNAcentral